Molecule: ribosomal RNA, 2786 nt
Filed under: Escherichia coli UMEA 3203-1
Lineage: Bacteria; Pseudomonadati; Pseudomonadota; Gammaproteobacteria; Enterobacterales; Enterobacteriaceae
Description: bacterial LSU rRNA
Rfam family: Bacterial large subunit ribosomal RNA
Source: RNAcentral
AUGGGGAAACCCAGUGUGUUUCGACACACUAUCAUUAACUGAAUCCAUAGGUUAAUGAGGCGAACCGGGGGAACUGAAACAUCUAAGUACCCCGAGGAAAAGAAAUCAACCGAGAUUCCCCCAGUAGCGGCGAGCGAACGGGGAGGAGCCCAGAGCCUGAAUCAGUGUGUGUGUUAGUGGAAGCGUCUGGAAAGGCGCGCGAUACAGGGUGACAGCCCCGUACACAAAAAUGCACAUAUUGUGAGCUCGAUGAGUAGGGCGGGACACGUGGUAUCCUGUCUGAAUAUGGGGGGACCAUCCUCCAAGGCUAAAUACUCCUGACUGACCGAUAGUGAACCAGUACCGUGAGGGAAAGGCGAAAAGAACCCCGGCGAGGGGAGUGAAAAAGAACCUGAAACCGUGUACGUACAAGCAGUGGGAGCCUCUUUAUGGGGUGACUGCGUACCUUUUGUAUAAUGGGUCAGCGACUUAUAUUCUGUAGCAAGGUUAACCGAAUAGGGGAGCCGAAGGGAAACCGAGUCUUAACUGGGCGUUAAGUUGCAGGGUAUAGACCCGAAACCCGGUGAUCUAGCCAUGGGCAGGUUGAAGGUUGGGUAACACUAACUGGAGGACCGAACCGACUAAUGUUGAAAAAUUAGCGGAUGACUUGUGGCUGGGGGUGAAAGGCCAAUCAAACCGGGAGAUAGCUGGUUCUCCCCGAAAGCUAUUUAGGUAGCGCCUCGUGAAUUCAUCUCCGGGGGUAGAGCACUGUUUCGGCAAGGGGGUCAUCCCGACUUACCAACCCGAUGCAAACUGCGAAUACCGGAGAAUGUUAUCACGGGAGACACACGGCGGGUGCUAACGUCCGUCGUGAAGAGGGAAACAACCCAGACCGCCAGCUAAGGUCCCAAAGUCAUGGUUAAGUGGGAAACGAUGUGGGAAGGCCCAGACAGCCAGGAUGUUGGCUUAGAAGCAGCCAUCAUUUAAAGAAAGCGUAAUAGCUCACUGGUCGAGUCGGCCUGCGCGGAAGAUGUAACGGGGCUAAACCAUGCACCGAAGCUGCGGCAGCGACACUAUGUGUUGUUGGGUAGGGGAGCGUUCUGUAAGCCUGUGAAGGUGGCCUGUGAGGGUUGCUGGAGGUAUCAGAAGUGCGAAUGCUGACAUAAGUAACGAUAAAGCGGGUGAAAAGCCCGCUCGCCGGAAGACCAAGGGUUCCUGUCCAACGUUAAUCGGGGCAGGGUGAGUCGACCCCUAAGGCGAGGCCGAAAGGCGUAGUCGAUGGGAAACAGGUUAAUAUUCCUGUACUUGGUGUUACUGCGAAGGGGGGACGGAGAAGGCUAUGUUGGCCGGGCGACGGUUGUCCCGGUUUAAGCGUGUAGGCUGGUUUUCCAGGCAAAUCCGGAAAACCAAGGCUGAGGCGUGAUGACGAGGCACUACGGUGCUGAAGCGACAAAUGCCCUGCUUCCAGGAAAAGCCUCUAAGCAUCAGGUAACAUCAAAUCGUACCCCAAACCGACACAGGUGGUCAGGUAGAGAAUACCAAGGCGCUUGAGAGAACUCGGGUGAAGGAACUAGGCAAAAUGGUGCCGUAACUUCGGGAGAAGGCACGCUGAUAUGUAGGUGAAGCGACUUGCUCGUGGAGCUGAAAUCAGUCGAAGAUACCAGCUGGCUGCAACUGUUUAUUAAAAACACAGCACUGUGCAAACACGAAAGUGGACGUAUACGGUGUGACGCCUGCCCGGUGCCGGAAGGUUAAUUGAUGGGGUUAGCGGUAACGCGAAGCUCUUGAUCGAAGCCCCGGUAAACGGCGGCCGUAACUAUAACGGUCCUAAGGUAGCGAAAUUCCUUGUCGGGUAAGUUCCGACCUGCACGAAUGGCGUAAUGAUGGCCAGGCUGUCUCCACCCGAGACUCAGUGAAAUUGAACUCGCUGUGAAGAUGCAGUGUACCCGCGGCAAGACGGAAAGACCCCGUGAACCUUUACUAUAGCUUGACACUGAACAUUGAGCCUUGAUGUGUAGGAUAGGUGGGAGGCUUUGAAGUGUGGACGCCAGUCUGCAUGGAGCCGACCUUGAAAUACCACCCUUUAAUGUUUGAUGUUCUAACGUUGGCCCGUAAUCCGGGUUGCGGACAGUGUCUGGUGGGUAGUUUGACUGGGGCGGUCUCCUCCUAAAGAGUAACGGAGGAGCACGAAGGUUGGCUAAUCCUGGUCGGACAUCAGGAGGUUAGUGCAAUGGCAUAAGCCAGCUUGACUGCGAGCGUGACGGCGCGAGCAGGUGCGAAAGCAGGUCAUAGUGAUCCGGUGGUUCUGAAUGGAAGGGCCAUCGCUCAACGGAUAAAAGGUACUCCGGGGAUAACAGGCUGAUACCGCCCAAGAGUUCAUAUCGACGGCGGUGUUUGGCACCUCGAUGUCGGCUCAUCACAUCCUGGGGCUGAAGUAGGUCCCAAGGGUAUGGCUGUUCGCCAUUUAAAGUGGUACGCGAGCUGGGUUUAGAACGUCGUGAGACAGUUCGGUCCCUAUCUGCCGUGGGCGCUGGAGAACUGAGGGGGGCUGCUCCUAGUACGAGAGGACCGGAGUGGACGCAUCACUGGUGUUCGGGUUGUCAUGCCAAUGGCACUGCCCGGUAGCUAAAUGCGGAAGAGAUAAGUGCUGAAAGCAUCUAAGCACGAAACUUGCCCCGAGAUGAGUUCUCCCUGACUCCUUGAGAGUCCUGAAGGAACGUUGAAGACGACGACGUUGAUAGGCCGGGUGUGUAAGCGCAGCGAUGCGUUGAGCUAACCGGUACUAAUGAACCGUGAGGCUUAACCUU